CAUGUUCUUAACUACAACAGCCAAAUACGUUACCUGUUAAAUUAUUACGGGAAUGAGCUUUUGUACCUGAUCUUUAUUAUUUUAUUGGCACGCAUAAACGCAUCGAAUCGCCUCUAUCAUAGACCAAUCUUUCACGCACCUAAUGUCUAGUAUGUUCUGCUUCUGGCUGCCUUUAUGUAAAUGCAUUCGAAAUAGACAGGCACUUUUUCGGAGCCCCGGCUUGCUCAUUUUGUUUACUUCAACCUUAACUGCUGCGGUCACAAAUACUUCAACCGUCUCCUCAUCGCCUGCGUCGCGAUUGCUUGUAACUGGAGAUACUCCGCUUUUGUUGUGGCGGCUGCUUCUGUUGUUGUCGUCUAUUAUUUUCUCGCCCACUUUGUUGAUCGUUGUCGUCUGCUUCUUCGCUGUCGCUACUCCCGGUGCGCACCUGCCGUAUCUAUUGCUCACUAGUUCUUUGUUGUGGCGAUAGUUGUGCUGUUGAUGGUACGGUAGGUAGCAGGAGUGUUGCCGCCGUAGUAAUAGCUAUCGGAGCUGCAGUGGAAGAACGAACAGCAUUGGCAAUAGUAACACAACAAUCGCUCAGUCUGCUGCUGGCAGUCUGCUAGCGCUCUAUAGUCCAAACAGUCGCUGCAGCUGUGGAAGGGGCACUUCGAAUGAGCGCCUUUGAGGCUGGGUGCUGCAAGUCGUGGUAGUGAACGGUAGAGACAGGGUGCUCACACUGUAUACAGAGCGCUCUCCUGUCGACGCCUAGGUUAUCGCCCGUUAGUUCGCAGGAAUGACGAGCAGCUUCCUUAAUAGCAAAAGAGCGGCAGGAGGACCGUAUAACGUUUCUUGGACUUGCUGGACCUGAGUAAUGUUAGAGGCGGCCAUCAACUCAGUAACUGGCCCGUAUUGCCCCUCUUCUCAAGCAUUACAUUAUUAGCAGGCUCUUUUUGCCUGUUUUGCUGGUUGUCCCAAUCCAGUGUACCGCCCGCCAAGUCAAGCUGCUUUUUUUCCACUUGUCCUGUGUUGAAACCGAAUGUAGCCCAACAUUGGCGCUGCCGCUGAUUUACAAAAUCGAAAGUUGUGGGUGGACGGGUGGAAGUUUCCCCUCGCGUCUUUUUCUCCUGUUGUUUCCUAUUAUCUUUUUCAAAUUAUCAUCAUCGUCGUCGUCGUUAAGAUAAUGAUCAACGUGUUACUGUCGCAGCAUUUCGUGGUAACAGCUCAUGUCGUCGCUGUUGACGGCUUCCUCAUCACGCGAACGACUGUAUAAAAGAGCUGUUCAGAUAUACGAGACCAGAGCGUGUGGUUCUAUUAUAACAGUUAUUAAUACGACUGCUGUUAGUUGAAUUAUACCUCCUUUGUCGCUGCUGUAUACAUUACAUGCAGUAGCUGUACAAUUGGGGCUUCGAAGUAGCAAACUGAUCUAAUAGACCACAACAGCCCCAUCAAGUUACAAGUUAGAUUAGCCUCUUGUCCUAAGGGUGCUCACCAGCAAGCGAGUGUCAACAACAACGGCCGCAGUAGCAUUUCUAACCGAAUGUCCGUGUGCGUAUGCGUGUGUAUGUGUGUGUGUAUGUGGAAUCAAGAUCAGGGACGGUUCCGUUCUCGUCGCCGGGAAGAUGGAUCGCUAGUGGAAGCAUAUGUGGGAGCAAAGUUAGUGCCUGAGCACUUGGCCGUCGUACGAGGACAAAUCUUAACUUCACUUGCCGCUGCUGCAGCGGUCUACCCGCCCGCCAUAAUCAGUCUCAGUAGCUAGCGGCCGAUCUACAAACGAACGAAACGACAGUAGCAGCUGCAAGCCGAGGUGGGACAGAGAGCUCCGUCCUCCGGAUUCGUCCGUGGUAGUUACAGUGGACACGGGCACGAAACAGCGUGGAAAGACCAACCGUCUAAUCGUUAUCCGUGCCGCCGUGUCUACGUCAACGUUGUCUAUUGAUCAACAACGUGCCUACAACAAGCAAGUAAAGCAAAAAGACAACACGACGCGACGUUAGGUAAACAGAGGGCGGACGUUACGUGAAAGAUUGUGGCAUAAUGAGUUCUGCAGUAAAGCGCAGCCUGGGCCAGGGGGCGCUGGUGUUUGCAAAAGUCAAAGGAUAUCCACACUGGCCAGCCCGCGUCGAAGAAGUUCGUCCUGGAGAUAAAUAUCGAGUGUUGUUUUUCGGCACCUACGAAGUGGGUAUUAUCGACAUAAAAUGUUUGUUUGCCUACGAAGAGAACAAGGCGCGCUUUGCGCGGCCGAACAAAAAACGUUUUUUUAUGGAGGCGCUCGAAGAGAUCGAAAAGCGACCAGGUAUGAAGCCUCCGGUGACUCACGUUAUGGGUCGCAUUGGUGGCGAGAAAAAACCGAAAGAUUCCAGCCUUACUCCAGUACAACCAUCGGCUAAGGACAGCAAAGCCAAGGAGCAGACGCCAGCUUGCGUAGUAAAAGAUGCUAAGACAGGCGUUCAGGGGGCCGUCAAAAAUGUCAAGGUCACACAGGUAUUCACGAAAGAAACGACAAAGACUACGCUCGUUACGGCAAAAGAGGCCAAAGUCAAGGAUAGCCGGUCAGCAACAGCUACGGCAGUAGGAACUACGAUUCUUGGAGGUCCAGCGGGAAAAGAGACGCUGAAAAAGAGUUUAAUCCCUGAAAGAAAAUCAAGUGCAAAUGACAAUACCGAAAGGCGAAAAACGGAUCCGAUUACAGCUGGCGGGAAAGGUGAUAAAAAAAGUGAAAAGCCGCAACAACAACAAAAAAGGAUCUCUCUAACGCGGCCUCCGUUACGGGAUGCCCACGUCAGCCCUAAGAGAAAACGGUCUGAGGCGCCUGCAGAAAAAACUGACGUUAUGGCAGUUUCUAGCUCACCGGAAGAAAAGCCACUCCAACAUAGCAGAGCUGGCAGGGCAAUCAAGCCAAAGAAACUCGAUGACGAAUUGGUCGAAAUUGAGACGAAAUCGCCACGAAAAUCACAGACGCCUUCUCCUGACGCGAAGAAAGAGCGACGUUAUGGACCAGCAGUUAGUGGAAAAAAUGUCGUAAAAACAGAACCUGCGACGUCUUUAAGUCAACAUAAAAAGCUGCUUCCGAAAGGCCGGCGAAAGACCUUACCCCCCGCUGAAAGUGAACGCUCGGAUUCCCCGACGACGAAGCGAACACGGAUCACAGCAAUAAAUUCAGAAACGGAACGAAAAUCUGGGCCGCCAAUGAAUGGCUCAAAAGCGGCUACCACAGGCGCUAGUAGCAAGAAGGUCGGUGUCGGUAACAUUAGAGCGCCUAUUAAAGAAGUUAGGGCUCACGCCAGAGGCGACGAAGACGAGGAUGAAGUGUGUAGCGAAUGUCAUCGCAGAAGCCCAAGGAAACAUGAUCAUUUGUCUCAAGGCGAAGAUGAUACUCCCGGGCCGAAUAUGUCACUUUCGGUAGUUAUUGAGACAAAUCCCAAUCUUGUUGUCAAUUCAAAGCCCGUUGCCGUUUCUGUCGUUCAGGCGAGAUCAUUGAAACAGGAUGGUCGGACGAGUAAGGGCUCAUCAGAGGACACAACUGAGCCUGCAAAAACACUUCGAGAAGAAAGCAAAGCUAGAGGCGCCCCAUCAGCCGACGAGCUGAAAAAACAGGUGGCAUUUCUAGAGCUGACUGAUAAAAAGAUUCGGGCUAAUAUGGGCGGCGAACGAAUGGACCCAGAUAGUGCAUUAGAUGCGAUUGUAGUGCUGGAAGGAAGCUUCAUCACGGCUCCAGCUUUGAUGAGAUUCCCGAAGAUUCUAAAUACGCUUCGACACGUACGGAGAUAUCCGACUAACGAGCGGUUAGCACAGAAGGCCGACUUCAUGUACAAUAAGAUCAAAAACUAUAUGAUGACAGUGUUUAUCAGCGAAGAUGAGAAGGCAGGGUGAAGACAUAUAGUAUAGUAAAAAGGUGAAGAAAAACAUACAAUAUAGUAAAAAUACGAGGCAUUUUCAACGGUCGAAAACUGAAAGCACUAUUCUGGUCUACUUCUUAGUGAAACAUGCGCCACUUGGAAAUUUGCCUUGCCCUUCUAGAAUGCUGUACCUGAACGAGACCUGUUGCGGGCAAAAAGAUAUUUGCUUCCGAAGACUACGUAAGAGAUAUUGCACGGAGAUGUAACGAAGUCCAAAAUAUCCAGCGAAAAUUGUCUGAUAAACACGUACCCGACAACGACGAAAAGCUGGCGCGAGUAUGGAAAAACGAUCAACUUGGUCAGCCGCUACUAUGCUCUAUUGGAGUGAAG
Non-coding RNA from Varroa destructor (honeybee mite), 4208 nucleotides. The record is from RefSeq and is a predicted model, not a curated record. Lineage: Eukaryota; Metazoa; Arthropoda; Arachnida; Mesostigmata; Varroidae.